This 254-nucleotide ribosomal RNA is filed under the name uncultured bacterium. RNAcentral describes it as "partial 16S ribosomal RNA". It matches the Rfam family "Bacterial small subunit ribosomal RNA", at positions 524 to 776 of the family's 1533-position model. The record is from RNAcentral.
CACGUAGGGGGCAAGCGUUGUCCGGAUUUAUUGGGCGUAAAGAGCUCGUAGGUGGUUCGGUAAGUCAGGUGUGAAACCUCCAGGCUCAACCUGGAGACGCCACUUGAUACUGCUGUGACUGGAGUCCGGUAGGGGAGCGUGGAAUUCCUGGUGUAGCGGUGGAAUGCGCAGAUAUCAGGAGGAACACCAGCGGCGAAGGCGGCGCUCUGGGCCGGUACUGACACUGAGGAGCGAAAGCGUGGGUAGCAAACAGG